Molecule: ribosomal RNA, 392 nt
Filed under: uncultured Streptococcus sp.
Lineage: Bacteria; Bacillati; Bacillota; Bacilli; Lactobacillales; Streptococcaceae
Description: bacterial SSU rRNA
Rfam family: Bacterial small subunit ribosomal RNA
Source: RNAcentral
UCCGAUGCUUAUUUCUAGAGAUAGAAAGUUACUUCGGUACAUCGGUGACAGGUGGUGCAUGGUUGUCGUCAGCUCGUGUCGUGAGAUUGUUGGGUUAAGUCCCGCAACGAGCGCAACCCCUAUUGUUAGUUGCCAUCAUUCAGUUGGGCACUCUGGCGAGACUGCCGGUAAUAACCGGAGAAGUGGGGAUGACGUCAAAUCAUCAUGCCCCUUAUGACCUGGGCUACACACGUGCUACAAUGGUUGGUACAACGAGUUGCGAGUCGGUGACGGCGAGCUAAUCUCUUAAAGCCAAUCUCAGUUCGGAUUGUAGGCUGCAACUCGCCUACAUGAAGUCGGAAUCGCUAGUAAUCGCGGAUCAGCACGCCGCGGUGAAUACGUUCCCGGGCCUU